GUUCUAAUGUGUGUUGUUUUUUUUUUUUUUUAUGGUGAUGGUUGUUAUUUUAUUUAUUAUUUUAUUUCACAAAUAACGCUGCACUGUUACAAAUAAUAAAUUCUUUCCCUUCCUUAACAGCCAUUAGCAUAUGUAAUUUUGGCUAGCAGCUUGAAUAAACACAUCCCUUCCCAUCAAGGCGGCAUAAACAGAUUGGGUGCUGCCUGAUCCAAGACACCUUUACUCUUUCUUAGGCAUUUGUGUAAUCUUGCAAGAUGCCUUGGAAACUUCAGAGUUUCCAGCAUAACUGAAAGUGUUAACAUCAGACAUCUAAUGCAUAAAUGCUCUUUCUUUCUCUGCCUCUCGUGUUCCAUUUGGAAGGCAAUUUUACCACCAUUUAUUUUAUUUAAGCCCCACUUUGGAAUGAAGUAAGGUUAUCGCUCUCCUAGUUUAUUUUUUCCUGUCCCAUCUUUGUUUUCUGUGGUCUUGGAAGACUGCUUGUCUUGUUUUCCCACUUGGCAUACAUUCCGUAAAUGUUUUAGUUGUCUCCAAGGCCACGAAGCUAAAAGGCCAUAGAGGAGUUGGGUGCUUGACUGGAAAGACGUGACCAAUGUGAAAAUCCUACUUCUCUUUAGUUUAGAGUUAGCAGAAAUGUGUAUUUCUACAGUUUUGGAAGGAAAUUACAGUGGCAUGGGCAUCAUAUUCAUGAGCUACCUCAAGUACCUUCACCUACUUUGACAACUCCGAUGCUUGCACUUGUCUCCUGUACAUAUUGAUACUUCGUAAGAGAGUGCAUGGGGAUAGCCAGACCUUCAGUGUAACCAUUCUCCUUACAUUUUCAUGCGAUGAAACUUGUGGAAACUGCCACCAGUUCAAGCCUUCCUGACUGGCUGCUGUCAUCCUUGGAGCAGUUUCUUCAGUUCAGAGUGUCCAAGAGUCAAUACCAUUGGCUCCUCUGGGAAGCAUAUGGAGCUCCAUGUCAUCCACACACCUGUUUUUCAGAGACAGCAACUCCCAUCACCUGGAAAUGUUUAUUUGUGUGGAUGUCCACGAACACAGAGACAAGUGCGUGGGUGUGUGUUUAUAUAUUUAACUAUGCAGAAAUAAACUUUCUGGAUGGAAGUUGAUAAGGGUCAAUUGGAAAACAAAGCACUGAAUGGCUAAAAUAAUAAAAAGUCCUUUUCGUGUCCUCA
Molecule: long non-coding RNA, 1172 nt
Filed under: Numida meleagris (helmeted guineafowl)
Lineage: Eukaryota; Metazoa; Chordata; Aves; Galliformes; Numididae
Description: lncRNA (ENSNMEG00000012809.1)
Source: RNAcentral